UGUAUGGGAGGCACUCUCUGGCCGUCUGCCCAGGACAAGCCACAAGCCUGAGCUCCCGGGUUUCUGCUCUGAUUCACAGCUUCCUCUCUUCCCAGAGGAAUCCCCUUUAUAGCUCUCGAGGCCUGACCCCAGCGUCCCCGCGAAUGUCGUCUGACUGCUGCAUGGAGUGCAGCCGCAGCUCCUGUGCCGGGUGCCAGCUGGACGUGCUUGGCGGCUGGGGCCCUGGGAGCCACCUCUCGGGAUGUCAGAGGGGAGCUGCAGCCGCCCUUCCGUCAGCAGGAAGCCCAGCCACAAACACUUGGACAGGAAGCGCAGGCGCUGGCCAGCUGAGCGAGCUCUGGUUUCUCCCGUGUCUGAGGGCCUGGCCCAGUGUAGAGGAAGACCAGCCAGGUGCUGCGGCCUGCACUGACAGGGCUGGGAUGUGGGCUCUGGGCGUGAGCGGAAAAGCACCGCUGAGGCUGGACCAGAGGAGGAGCUUCCUGGAGGAGGGUGAGGGAGCAGGGAACACGGCGUCUAGCAGACCUCGGCCAGCUGGCUGGGGACACGCAAAGACCCCUUUGUGAUGGUUCCAGACAAAAUGUGUUCGCUUGGGCCCAGACCUCCGGCAUAAGCCCAGGCCGGCUCCAACCUCCAGGCGGCCUCCGCCUCUGUGAAAACACACUGUAGUCCCCUGGGGUGGGAUGUCCACACGUUCCCAGCUUGAAGAAUGACUCCUCUCAGGGGAAGCCUCUUUCGUAACCUACCGGGUUGUAUUGUGAGUGAAUUAAUACAAAAUAGAGCGUGCUGAGCUGGGGACAAAGGCAAUUUUGCAUUCCGGUCGACGUUGUUGCUUCUAAGUGCUACGUGUGAUUAUCCUCAGGGCAGUCUGUGUGUGCAGACCAUGUGUGUGCCCCAAGGACCCCCAGGAUUUACAGAGCGCUUCAAAUUUUCACAAGUCGCUCGGGUAUUUUUCCCCCCACUUUUGCUUCUCACGACCUGAUACGUCAGUAAGAGAUGCCCGGUAUCUGGGGACCAGGAGGUAGGCAGAUUGGCUCAAGGUCACACGGCUCAGUCAUGGCAGAUCCAGGGCCACCGCCAUGACUUGUCUUGCUCUAAAAAGAUAACUUAGAUGAUUAUUACUUUCCAAGGGCCCGAACCUCUCCUACCUUACCCUGGACUGCGUGCUUUCAAGCUCCCGCCCUCGGAGUCUGUAGCUAAUAGCCCGUUGUUUGAAGCACAUUUUGAAAACCUUCUGGGUGAAUCCUGCCUGUGGCUUUAUUCCCUCCCCCUGCCAUGCCCACAGGUUUUUAUUAGUGGCAUUUCAAUAAUCUAGAUUUUAUCAUAGCCUAUGACCUCUAUGGUUCUGACUCUAGACCAAGGGUUAGCAACUUUUUCUGUAAAGGGAUAGACGGUAAAUAUUUUAAGUUACGGGCCACUUGGUCUCUGUAGCAAUUGCCCAACUCUGCCAUUGUGGUGCAAAAGUAGCCAUAGACAGUGUGUAAACAAAUGGCGUGGCUGUGUUCCAAUAAAGCUUUAUUCACAAAAACCGGCAGUGAGCUAGGUUUUGCACCCAGGCUGUAGUUCAAGGAUCUCUGCUUUUGAACUCCCUGAAGACAGAGACUCUUGUUCUUACACAACUACAAGCACUCUCCCUACUCCAGGCACCAGUGUUGGGUUGACUGUGUUUAUACCUUGUGCUUAACGGAGUUCAUUGUUAGUUAAUUCAAUGAGUGGAAUGUCCGAAGGAGUUUGCAAAUGAAGCCAUUAUAGAACUGGUUAGGUUUUGAUUCUGAUCCUCAGCUGGAAGCUAUACAAUAUGGUUGAGUAUAAUCUCAUUGAGGAGAAUUGGUAGGCCUGAUUUGAACACCAAUUCUGCUACUUCUUAGCCCUGAAAGCUUGGGCACGUAACUUGUGCUGAAGAAAUGGUGGCCAUUGCUACCUGGAGGGAUAUGGUGUUCCUGCUGAACGCUCUCUGUGCUCGGGGUCAGGUUCCAGAUGGGGCCUCAGUAUUGUCUACUGUCUGACACACAGAGAGGAUAUAGUGAGAAUAAAUGGAAAGAUAUCCUUUAGCCAGGAAAAGGUAGGGUUAUGUAAACCCAGGCAGUUUUGCAGAGGUGUCCCUUAUGUGGCAUCCCAAAGUCACUGUCUACAACAGAACUCGUCUCCACCAUCCACCUCCCAAGCUGCGCUUUCCUCUCCGUCUCCACAGAUGCCAAGGUGGACACCUGAAGGUCAUCUGCAUCUGGCUGGCUCCCUCCUACCCCAAGACCAGUGUGCACCAAAGCCGUCACCUUCCCCUCUUCUGCAUGCCCUUGCCUGUUCAGGGUCUAUCGCCUGUGUUAUAGCUGCUUCCGGUGGCUCCCUACCUCAUCUGCGUAACCACUUUGCUGUUAGAUUUACGUUUCAAAAUACAAAUCUGGCUUCUGAAAUCUUCAAUGGUCCCCCACUGCUGGUAAGGCCAAAGUCCACUGAUCUCCUUUGGUCUUUCCCGCCUCAUCUCCCAGCAUUCUUUGCCACGUGUCUAGCCUCUUGGGUGGACCUCACUAUGGGCAGUCUCAUCUGUUGCAUUUUUUUUUUUUAUGUUGUUACCUGCUCCAUUCUGCUCACACCCCAGCACUCCGAAUUCUGUCCAGGAUAUCACAAAUCAAUCACUAAAUAGUAUCCUGUGGCCUCAGAGUUUUUAAACACAUUUUUUAAAGGCUUGUCACUCAGUUCUAGUUUGGAACUUAGCUCUGGGAAAAUCUGUACCAUUGGCAUAUUUAAUUUUUUUUUUCAGCUGAAAUCAGGGAACUUACAUAUCAGACAAUUUCUGUCUAGAAAUAUCCAGACAUUGUGUUUAUGGGUCAACUCGGUAACAGCAAACAUGAGGCUUCCAGUCCUGGAGAAUACUGUUGUGAGCAGUAAGGAUGCCAUUUGAUUAAAUUCUCCUUCCAGAAUUCCUCUAGUGUUACAGAACAGAGGGCUCCUUCCAGCAGCUGGAACCUCCAGCAAAACCUGUCCCCGAGUGACCACUCAUGAAUCCGACAUGACCGGCAGCUGAUACAUGGCCUCCUUACAACUUCAAAGCCUGGGAACCAGGCGGGCAUCAAAGCCAAUAAAUUUGGACUGUACUCACGACGGCGGCCAAUGGCAACUCCUAGAGGUCAUGCCACUUGCAAGGAAGAAAUCACUGUCACACCCCACGGUCCACUGGGCUUGAGCAAACCCAUGUUCUUGCGAACAGAUGCAAAAUCCAGCAUUUUCUGCCUGCAAGAGAACUUGCACUUGGAGACUUGCAGCAUCAGCAAGAAUCUCUCCAGUUGUCUGAGCAUCAUCACCCAGAUGUUCUGGGUAUUAAGAGUCUCAAGCAAAAUACGUCGUCCAUAUUUUUUUGCAGCCCUGUGAGAUACUCAACACCACGAUGACCCAGAUCCAUGGGAAAGUGUAUACAAAGCAGAGCGGGAAGAGCCGAAAGCAGAGUUGUGUGUAUAUACCGA
Long non-coding RNA from Felis catus (domestic cat), 3455 nucleotides. RefSeq lists it as uncharacterized. Lineage: Eukaryota; Metazoa; Chordata; Mammalia; Carnivora; Felidae. The record is from RefSeq and is a predicted model, not a curated record. The transcript has 2 exons.